UUUUUUUUUUUUUUUUUUUUUUUUUUUUUUUUCUUGUCC
RNAcentral lists this non-coding RNA (39 nucleotides) under Prorocentrum micans. The record is from RNAcentral. Lineage: Eukaryota; Dinophyceae; Prorocentrales; Prorocentraceae.